This is a long non-coding RNA of Populus euphratica (Euphrates poplar), 196 nucleotides long. RefSeq lists it as uncharacterized. The transcript has 4 exons. The record is from RefSeq and is a predicted model, not a curated record. Lineage: Eukaryota; Viridiplantae; Streptophyta; Magnoliopsida; Malpighiales; Salicaceae.
AUUAUUUUUAAUACAUCCUCCAAGUAAAAGCUCUUUGGGUUUGAAACUUGCACAUGUUAACUUUACCUUGUGUUUAAUUUUUAUCAAAUAAAUGAGGAUGGUGAGAUUCAAACUCGUGACCGCUUGGUUAUCAAAACUCUGAUACAAUGUCAAAAAACCAUCUUAAUCUAAUAGUUUAAAUUAUUAGGUAAUUUUU